This is a long non-coding RNA of Gadus macrocephalus (Pacific cod), 262 nucleotides long. RefSeq lists it as uncharacterized. The record is from RefSeq and is a predicted model, not a curated record. The transcript is spliced from 3 exons. NCBI's taxonomy places the organism in Eukaryota, Metazoa, Chordata, Actinopteri, Gadiformes, Gadidae.
GACACGAACAAUCUUGUCCAUCCUGGUGAUUUUUGUGUGUCUUGCACAUACGCUGGCCUCCAGACCUCAAUUACUGGCUGACCUCCAGAAGGGGAAUCAAGCUUUGGAAUUGUACUAUCCCCCUAAGGAACCUGGCAGGAAAGUUCUAAUGCCCAACGGAGCUGCUUUAGAGACUACUUGUGGGGACUAUGAGGAGUCUACAUUUCUACUAGUAAAAAUCUACGUGCCCCUGUUAUUGAGUGUUGAGGUCAGAUGGGAGCAA